Molecule: ribosomal RNA, 651 nt
Filed under: uncultured Isochrysis
Lineage: Eukaryota; Haptophyta; Isochrysidales
Description: partial Bacterial large subunit ribosomal RNA
Rfam family: Bacterial large subunit ribosomal RNA
Source: RNAcentral
CUGCACGAAUGGCGUAACGAUGGCGGCGCUGUCUCCACCCGAGACUCAGUGAAAUUGAAAUCGCUGUGAAGAUGCAGUGUAUCCGCGGCUAGACGGAAAGACCCCGUGAACCUUUACUAUAGCUUUGCACUGGACUUUGAAUUUGCUUGUGUAGGAUAGGUGGGAGGCUUUGAAGCGUGGACGCCAGUUCGCGUGGAGCCAACCUUGAAAUACCACCCUGGUAAUUUCGGAGUUCUAACCUCGAUCGGUAUAUCCCGGUCAGGGACAAUGUAUGGUGGGUAGUUUGACUGGGGCGGUCUCCUCCUAAAGAGUAACGGAGGAGUACGAAGGUGCGCUCAGACCGGUCGGAAAUCGGUCGUAGAGUAUAAAGGCAAAAGCGCGCUUGACUGCGAGACAGACACGUCGAGCAGGUACGAAAGUAGGUCUUAUUGAUCCGGUGGUUCUGUAUGGAAGGGCCAUCGCUCAACGGAUAAAAGGUACUCCGGGGAUAACAGGCUGAUACCGCCCAAGAGUUCAUAUCGACGGCGGUGUUUGGCACCUCGAUGUCGGCUCAUCACAUCCUGGGGCUGAAGCCGGUCCCAAGGGUAUGGCUGUUCGCCAUUUAAAGAGGUACGCGAGCUGGGUUUAGAACGUCGUGAGACAGUUCGGUCC